This 429-nucleotide ribosomal RNA is filed under the name uncultured bacterium. RNAcentral's name for it is "bacterial SSU rRNA". It matches the Rfam family "Bacterial small subunit ribosomal RNA", at positions 355 to 776 of the family's 1533-position model. RNAcentral also lists the same sequence under 1 other name. The record is from RNAcentral.
UGGGGAAUAUUGCACAAUGGGCGCAAGCCUGAUGCAGCCAUGCCGCGUGUGUGAAGAAGGCCUUCGGGUUGUAAAGCACUUUCAGCGAGGAGGAAGGGUAGUGUGUUAAUAGCACAUUGCAUUGACGUUACUCGCAGAAGAAGCACCGGCUAACUCCGUGCCAGCAGCCGCGGUAAUACGGAGGGUGCAAGCGUUAAUCGGAAUUACUGGGCGUAAAGCGCACGCAGGCGGUUUGUUAAGUCAGAUGUGAAAUCCCCGCGCUUAACGUGGGAACUGCAUUUGAAACUGGCAAGCUAGAGUCUUGUAGAGGGGGGUAGAAUUCCAGGUGUAGCGGUGAAAUGCGUAGAGAUCUGGAGGAAUACCGGUGGCGAAGGCGGCCCCCUGGACAAAGACUGACGCUCAGGUGCGAAAGCGUGGGGAGCAAACAGG